RNAcentral lists this ribosomal RNA (480 nucleotides) under uncultured bacterium. RNAcentral describes it as "bacterial SSU rRNA". It matches the Rfam family "Bacterial small subunit ribosomal RNA", at positions 32 to 524 of the family's 1533-position model. The record is from RNAcentral.
AAUCAACGCUGGCGGCGUGCCUAACACAUGCAAGUCGAACGAGAAAGUGGAGCAAUCCAUGAGUAAAGUGGCGACCGGGUGAGUAACACGUGACUAACCUACCCUUGAAUGGGGAAUAACCUUCCGAAAGGAGGGCUAAUACCGCAUAAAGUCCUAAGGAUGAAACGCCUAAGGACCAAAGGAGCAAUUCGUUUAAGGAGGGGGUCGCGGUUGAUUAGCUAGUUGGUGGGGUAAUGGCCCACCAAGGCGAUGANCAAUAGCCGGCCUGAGAGGGCGCACGGCCACACUGGAACUGAAACACGGUCCAGACUCCUACGGGAGGCAGCAGUGGGGAAUUUUGCGCAAUGGGGGAAACCCUGACGCAGCAACGCCGCGUGAAGGAUGAAGGUCUUUGGAUUGUAAACUUCUUUCGAUCGGGAAGAUAAUGACGGUACCGAGAGAAGAAGCCCCGGCUAACUUCGUGCCAGCCGCCGCGGUAAC